This 665-nucleotide unclassified non-coding RNA is filed under the name Hevea brasiliensis (rubber tree). The record is from RNAcentral. Lineage: Eukaryota; Viridiplantae; Streptophyta; Magnoliopsida; Malpighiales; Euphorbiaceae.
GCAUAUUUCCUCUACUUCAGGUGUUGUUUCAUAUUUCACUUUUCCAUAUCUAUUUGCCAAUAUAGUUGUAUGAGUUUUCCUUUUUACCUUUGAAAAGUGAAAUAAUCAAUUUGUCUGGCCUCUUUGUGGAAGUGCUGGUUAAAUUUUACAAAUCUUUUGCCCCAUGUAAUGUGACAACACGUGUGUGGGUACUAAAAGAUAUCUGAAACUUUUAUCUUAAUCCAUAUGCAUUUAUGGAUUGAUUUCUUAAGAAAUGCUUUAUUAAGCCCUAAUAUCUCUGUUAUUCUUCCUUUCAUCUUUGCAGACUGUUAUUUUCCAUAUAGAAUCAAGUAUCUGGUAUGAGAAGCAGUUGGAUAUUAUUUAAGGAUUUAAACUCAUUAUCUUGAUACAGAAAACUCAAUAAAUGGUUUUAAGUUUUCUUUUUUUGCUCAAAAAAAUAAUUUAAAUUCUUUCAGUUUACUGCUAACUGAUUGUGAAGUGCUUUGGAAACUAGACUGUUGUACUGAUUUAUGAAUUUACUUGUGCAAGCAUUUAUGCUGUAGCAAUAAAAGGAAGAAACUUUAGAUGCUUGAUGUCCUCAGUAAAUAUUGGUUUUCCUUGCUGUGGUCUAUAUGGCACCAUGACUACAAUGACAAAAUUUGCAGAUAUAUGCUGGUUCUUUCUUU